RNAcentral lists this ribosomal RNA (457 nucleotides) under uncultured Acidimicrobiales bacterium. RNAcentral's name for it is "bacterial SSU rRNA". It matches the Rfam family "Bacterial small subunit ribosomal RNA", at positions 924 to 1374 of the family's 1533-position model. Lineage: Bacteria; Bacillati; Actinomycetota; Acidimicrobiia; Acidimicrobiales. The record is from RNAcentral.
CCACAAGCGGCGGAGCAUGCGGCUUAAUUCGAUGCAACCCGAAGAACCUUACCUGGGCUUGACAUCAUGGGAAAAGCCGUAGAGAUACGGUGUGCAUUAGCGUCCAUGACAGGUGGUGCAUGGCUGUCGUCAGCUCGUGUCGUGAGAUGUUGGGUUAAGUCCCGCAACGAGCGCAACCCUUGUCCUAUGUUGCCAGCGGUUCGGCCGGGGACUCAUAGGAGACUGCCGGGGACAACUCGGAGGAAGGUGAGGACGACGUCAAGUCAUCAUGCCCCUUAUGUCCAGGGCUGCACGCAUGCUACAAUGGCCGGUACAACGGGCUGCGAUCCCGCGAGGGUGAGCGAAUCCCUUAAAGCCGGCCUCAGUUCGGAUUGGAGUCUGCAACUCGACUCCAUGAAGUCGGAGUCGCUAGUAAUCGCGGAUCAGCAAAGCCGCGGUGAAUGCGUUCUCGGGGAUU